UUUUGCUAGCUAUUUGAAAAUCUGGACCAAUUUGCGGUGGCGGUGCACAUCUCUAAUGAGCAGCUUCCAAAGAGGGGAAUCCCAAAAUGUGGGAACUUCAGUACAUUAAAAGGCACAAAAAAGCGCGAGAGCAAUCAUUGAGUUACGCAUCACUGCAGUGUAUGAAUUCGUUCCAAUCAACUAGAAUGAAAAUAAUUAUUUCAUUACUUUGUGUUAUCUGUUUCAUGCUUGUAACGAAUUUAUGUUCCCCAAUUGUUGACGAGGAUGAUUCUUCCUCGUUUGGAUCACCAUGCUUACAGCCACCAAUGAAAUUUAAGAAACGUUAUUUUGUGCAUAACUACAAUCACCUAACGUUCUUGGAAGCCUGGAGGCAGUGCCAUGCCAUUGGUCAUCGCUUAGCUACUAUUACAUCUGAGGAGGAUAGCCAACUCUUACAGGAAACCAUAGUGAACUCUACAAACACGAAAGGUCCUUGGUAUAUCGGUGGCACCGAUUUGGGAAAUGAAGGACACUUUAUAUGGAUAUCUACCAACACGCCUGUUGGACACAAGACAGGAUACUUCAACUUCUCACCCGGACAACCUGACAAUGCUGGCGCAAAUGAACACUGUCUUGAGAUCGGUCGUUGGGGUGGUGUAGAAUGGAAUGAUGUACAUUGUCAUGCGAAAUCACGCUACAUUUGUGAAUCUGUCAGUCCAAUCUGGUCGUAGAAAUUUAUUACUCAAUGACAAUAAUAAAUCAUUUGUUUGUUUAUUA
RNAcentral lists this long non-coding RNA (756 nucleotides) under Aedes aegypti (yellow fever mosquito). RNAcentral's name for it is "lncRNA AAEL026265". The record is from RNAcentral. Lineage: Eukaryota; Metazoa; Arthropoda; Insecta; Diptera; Culicidae.